UUCACGGAGAGUUUGAUCCUGGCUCAGGACGAACGCUGGCGGCGCGCUUAACACAUGCAAGUCGAGCGAGAACCGGGGCUUCGGCCCUGGGGACAGCGGCGAACGGGGGAGUAACACGUGGGUAAUCCACCCUCGGCACCGGGAUAGCCCGAGGAAACUCGGAUUAAUACCGGAUGGCCCCUCCGACUUUCGGGUCGGUCGGGAAAGGUAGCUUAGGCCUCUGGCCGGGGACGAGCCCGCGGCGGAUUAGCUUGUUGGUGGGGUAACGGCCUACCAAGGCAACGAUCCGUAGC
RNAcentral lists this ribosomal RNA (293 nucleotides) under Actinomycetota bacterium. Its description in RNAcentral is "Actinobacteria bacterium partial 16S ribosomal RNA". It matches the Rfam family "Bacterial small subunit ribosomal RNA", at positions 1 to 287 of the family's 1533-position model. Lineage: Bacteria; Bacillati; Actinomycetota. The record is from RNAcentral.